CGCGGAGUAGAGAAGCGGUAUCUCGUCGGGCUCAUAACCCGAAGAUCACAGGUUCAAUUCCUGUCUCCGCAACCA
RNAcentral lists this transfer RNA (75 nucleotides) under Candidatus Peribacteria bacterium. Its description in RNAcentral is "tRNA-Met". It matches the Rfam family "tRNA". From Rfam's summary of the family: Transfer RNA (tRNA) molecules are approximately 80 nucleotides in length. Their secondary structure includes four short double-helical elements and three loops (D, anti-codon, and T loops). The record is from RNAcentral. Lineage: Bacteria; Candidatus Peregrinibacteriota; Candidatus Peribacteria.